AUUGAACGCUGGCGGCAGGCCUAACACAUGCAAGUCGAGCGGAUGAAGGGAGCUUGUUCCUGGAUUCAGCGGCGGACGGGUGAGUAAGGCCUAGGAAUCUGCCUGGUAUUGGGGGAUAACGUCCGGAAACAGGCGCUAAUACCGCAUACGUCCUGAUGGUGAAAGUGGGGGAUCUUCGGACCUCACGCGAUCAGAUGAGCCUAGGUCGGAUUAGCUAGUUGGUGGGGUAAAGGCCUACCAAGGCGACGAUCCGUAACUGGUCUGAGAGGAUGAUCAGUCACACUGGAACUGAGACACGGUCCAGACUCCUACGGGAGGCAGCAGUGGGGAAUAUUGGACAAUGGGCGAAAGCCUGCUCCAGCCAUGCCGCGUGUGUGAAGAAGGUCUUCGGAUUGUAAAGCACUUUAAGUUGGGAGGAAGGGCAGUAAGUUAAUACCUUGCUGUUUUGACGUUACCAACAGAAUAAGCACCGGCUAACUUCGUG
RNAcentral lists this ribosomal RNA (484 nucleotides) under uncultured bacterium. RNAcentral's name for it is "partial 16S ribosomal RNA". It matches the Rfam family "Bacterial small subunit ribosomal RNA", at positions 30 to 507 of the family's 1533-position model. The record is from RNAcentral.